GAAGGUUAGCAAAAUGUGUGAAUUAUGUUGGAGCAGCUACCGUUGAGUAUUUGUACAGUAUGGACACUGGAGAGUAUUACUUCUUGGAGCUCAAUCCUCGGUUGCAGGUGGAGCACCCUGUCACUGAGUGGAUUGCUGAAAUAAAUUUGCCAGCAGCCCAGGUAGCUGUUGGGAUGGGAAUUCCUCUCUGGCAUAUUCCUGAGAUAAGGCGAUUUUAUGGAAUGGAACAUGGUGGAGGAUAUGAUGCAUGGAGGAAAACUUCAGUGGUUGCUACCCCUUUCGAUUUUGACCAGGCAGAGUCUACAAGGCCAAAAGGUCAUUGUGUCGCUGUGCGUGUAACAAGUGAGGAUCCAGAUGAUGGUUUUAAGCCUACAAGUGGAAAAGUACAGGAGCUAAGUUUCAAAAGCAAGCCAAAUGUGUGGGCUUACUUCUCUGUUAAGUCUGGUGGAGGCAUUCAUGAAUUCUCAGAUUCUCAAUUUGGACAUGUUUUUGCAUUUGGGGAGUCAAGAGCUUUGGCUAUAGCAAAUAUGGUCCUUGGGCUGAAAGAAAUUCAAAUUCGAGGAGAGAUUCAUACUAAUGUUGACUACUCAGUUGACCUUCUACACGCUUCAGAUUAUAGGGACAACAAAAUCCACACAGGUUGGUUGGACAGUAGAAUUGCAAUGCGGGUUAGAGCAGAAAGGCCCC
Molecule: unclassified non-coding RNA, 687 nt
Filed under: Hevea brasiliensis (rubber tree)
Lineage: Eukaryota; Viridiplantae; Streptophyta; Magnoliopsida; Malpighiales; Euphorbiaceae
Source: RNAcentral